This 331-nucleotide ribosomal RNA is filed under the name Munidopsis rostrata. RNAcentral's name for it is "partial 12S ribosomal RNA". The record is from RNAcentral. Lineage: Eukaryota; Metazoa; Arthropoda; Malacostraca; Decapoda; Munidopsidae.
UCUUGAAAUUUAAAGAAUUUGGCGGUAUUUUAAUCUCUUUAGAGGAACCUGUUUAAUAAUCGAUAAACCACGUAAAAUCUUACUUGUUUAAAUACAUUUGUAUACCGUCAUUAUUAGAUAACUUUUAUAGAAUUAGAUAUUGUAAUUUUUUUCUUAAAGAUAUAUUAGAUCAAGGUGCAGUUUAUAGGCAAGAAUAAAUGGGUUACAAUAAAAUUUUUUAUUAUGAAAUUAAUUAUGAAGCUAAUUAAUGAAAGAGGAUUUAAUUGUAAUUUUUUUUUAAAAAGAAAAAUUGAUAUUAGCUCUAAAAUAUGUACAUAUCGCCCGUCGCAAA